This 63-nucleotide transfer RNA is filed under the name Vertigo pusilla. RNAcentral describes it as "tRNA-Tyr". Lineage: Eukaryota; Metazoa; Mollusca; Gastropoda; Stylommatophora; Vertiginidae. The record is from RNAcentral.
UUUUCGGAAUCUUUUGUUUAAGAGGUAAUUUGUAAAGUUAUUUUAGGAUCUUUCCCUGAAGUU